GUCUCUGAUAGCUCAACUGAUGGUAAAGCCUUUGGCACGUAACUAAAUAAUCCGGGUUCGAAUCCCGGUCUGGACU
Molecule: transfer RNA, 76 nt
Filed under: Cotesia glomerata
Lineage: Eukaryota; Metazoa; Arthropoda; Insecta; Hymenoptera; Braconidae
Description: tRNA-Thr
Source: RNAcentral